Molecule: non-coding RNA, 24 nt
Filed under: Arabidopsis thaliana (thale cress)
Lineage: Eukaryota; Viridiplantae; Streptophyta; Magnoliopsida; Brassicales; Brassicaceae
Source: RNAcentral
AUGAUGCCCAUUUUCAACUCUACC